RNAcentral lists this ribosomal RNA (880 nucleotides) under Pedobacter ginsenosidimutans. RNAcentral describes it as "bacterial SSU rRNA". It matches the Rfam family "Bacterial small subunit ribosomal RNA", at positions 95 to 976 of the family's 1533-position model. Lineage: Bacteria; Pseudomonadati; Bacteroidota; Sphingobacteriia; Sphingobacteriales; Sphingobacteriaceae. The record is from RNAcentral.
GUGGCGCACGGGUGCGUAACGCGUAUGCAACCUACCUUAAUCAGGGGGAUAGCCCGGAGAAAUCCGGAUUAAUACCGCAUAAAAUCACAGUCCCCCCUGGGACAAUGAUCAAACAUUUAUGGGAUUGAGAUGGGCAUGCGUGUCAUUAGCUAGUUGGCGGGGUAACGGCCCACCAAGGCGACGAUGACUAGGGGAUCUGAGAGGAUGGCCCCCCACACUGGUACUGAGACACGGACCAGACUCCUACGGGAGGCAGCAGUAAGGAAUAUUGGUCAAUGGAGGCAACUCUGAACCAGCCAUGCCGCGUGCAGGAAGACUGCCCUAUGGGUUGUAAACUGCUUUUAUCCGGGAAUAAACCUUUCUACGUGUAGAAAGCUGAAUGUACCGGAAGAAUAAGGAUCGGCUAACUCCGUGCCAGCAGCCGCGGUAAUACGGAGGAUCCAAGCGUUAUCCGGAUUUAUUGGGUUUAAAGGGUGCGUAGGCGGCCUGUUAAGUCAGGGGUGAAAGACGGUAGCUCAACUAUCGCAGUGCCCUUGAUACUGAUGGGCUUGAAUGGACUAGAGGUAGGCGGAAUGAGACAAGUAGCGGUGAAAUGCAUAGAUAUGUCUCAGAACACCGAUUGCGAAGGCAGCUUACUAUGGUCUUAUUGACGCUGAGGACCGAAAGCGUGGGGAUCAAACAGGAUUAGAUACCCUGGUAGUCCACGCCCUAAACGAUGAACACUCGCUGUUGGCGAUACACAGUCAGCGGCUAAGCGAAAGCGUUAAGUGUUCCACCUGGGGAGUACGCUCGCAAGAGUGAAACUCAAAGGAAUUGACGGGGGCCCGCACAAGCGGAGGAGCAUGUGGUUUAAUUCGAUGAUACGCGAGGAACCUUACCC